GCCAGCAGCCAUAUCACCCUGCAGUCAGCAGCCAUAUCACCCUGCAACUCACAGCUGGCAACACACUGAAGCUAAGCAGGUUUGAGCCUGGUCAGUACCUGGAUGAGAGACCUCCUGGGAAAAACUAAGGUUGCUGCUGGAA
Non-coding RNA from Lepisosteus oculatus (spotted gar), 142 nucleotides. The record is from Rfam. Lineage: Eukaryota; Metazoa; Chordata; Actinopteri; Semionotiformes; Lepisosteidae.